Paramuricea clavata is the source of this 276-nucleotide non-coding RNA. The record is from the annotation of a GenBank genome assembly. Lineage: Eukaryota; Metazoa; Cnidaria; Anthozoa; Malacalcyonacea; Plexauridae.
CUACCUCGUAAAGAAAAACUAUUCUAAAACUUUUUUCCGCGUUUUACCCUCUUUUCCGCGUUUUACCCCCUUUUCCGCGUUUUACCCCCUUUUCCGCGUUUUACCCUCUUUUCCGCGUUUUACCCUCUUUUCCGCGUUUUACCCUUUUUUCCGCGUUUUACCCUCUUUUCCGCGUUUUACCCUCUUUUCCACGUUUUACCCUCUUUUCCGUUUCCGUUUUUCCGGUUCCGCCGGUCCGUUCCGUUCCGUUUCCGCGUUUUACCCCUACCCAAUAAA